This 272-nucleotide ribosomal RNA is filed under the name uncultured bacterium. RNAcentral describes it as "partial 16S ribosomal RNA". It matches the Rfam family "Bacterial small subunit ribosomal RNA", at positions 524 to 794 of the family's 1533-position model. The record is from RNAcentral.
UACGUAGGGGGCGAGCGUUGUCCGGAUUUAUUGGGCGUAAAGAGCUCGUAGGCGGUUUGGCAAGUCGGGUGUGAAAACUCCGGGCUCAACUCGGAGACGCCACUCGAUACUGCCAUGACUCGAGUCCGGUAGGGGAGUGCGGAAUUCCUGGUGUAGCGGUGAAAUGCGUAGAUAUAGGAAGGAACACCAGUGGCGAAUGCGACCACCUGGACUGAUACUGACACUGAGGUGCGAAAGCGUGGGGAGCAAACAGGAUUAGAUACCCGAGUAGU